UACGUAGGGUCCGAGCGUUGUCCGGAAUUACUGGGCGUAAAGAGCUCGUAGGUGGUUUGUCGCGUUGUUCGUGAAAACUCACAGCUCAACUGUGGGCGUGCGGGCGAUACGGGCAGACUUGAGUACUGCAGGGGAGACUGGAAUUCCUGGUGUAGCGGUGAAAUGCGCAGAUAUCAGGAGGAACACCGGUGGCGAAGGCGGUUCUCUGGGCAUGAUCUGACGUGAGGAGCGAAAGUGUGGGGAGCGAACAGG
This 252-nucleotide ribosomal RNA is filed under the name uncultured bacterium. RNAcentral describes it as "partial 16S ribosomal RNA". It matches the Rfam family "Bacterial small subunit ribosomal RNA", at positions 524 to 776 of the family's 1533-position model. The record is from RNAcentral.